UAAUACGUAGGGUGCAAGCGUUAAUCGGAAUUACUGGGCGUAAAGCGUGCGCAGGCGGUUUUGUAAGACAGAGGUGAAAUCCCCGGGCUCAACCUGGGAACUGCCUUUGUGACUGCAAGGCUUGAGUGCGGCAGAGGGGGAUGGAAUUCCGCGUGUAGCAGUGAAAUGCGUAGAUAUGCGGAGGAACACCGAUGGCGAAGGCAAUCCCCUGGGCCUGCACUGACGCUCAUGCACGAAAGCGUGGGGAGCAAACAGGAUUAGAUACCCUGGUAGUCCACGCCCUAAACGAUGUCAACUGGUUGUUGGGAAGGUUCCUUCUCAGUAACGUAGCUAACGCGUGAAGUUGACCGCCUGGGGAGUACGGCCGCAAGGUU
This 374-nucleotide ribosomal RNA is filed under the name uncultured bacterium. RNAcentral describes it as "bacterial SSU rRNA". It matches the Rfam family "Bacterial small subunit ribosomal RNA", at positions 521 to 895 of the family's 1533-position model. The record is from RNAcentral.